This is a long non-coding RNA of Hippocampus zosterae (dwarf seahorse), 1258 nucleotides long. RefSeq lists it as uncharacterized. Lineage: Eukaryota; Metazoa; Chordata; Actinopteri; Syngnathiformes; Syngnathidae. The transcript has 2 exons. The record is from RefSeq and is a predicted model, not a curated record.
CAGCAGAAAGGAAGCGUGCAAGCUACUGAGCAGGGUGCAUGCACGGUAGCCAGCAGCAACUUCGCGUAUGGACUCGGCAAGCUGACUUUCAUUCCGAUAGUUUUGCGGAAUUUUUAGCAAACAUGAGGAAUGGAAAACCAUUCACAUUAAUGACCUUCCAGUUAUUCUGACUCACCUGUCUCCCCUGCUUGGGGCCUGUGGGUGUGCUGCUGCUACUGCGAGGUGUGGGUCCCAGCAGGCCACUGCUGCUGAGCAGGCCGAGUCUUGCACCCGGUAAACUCCGAGAGGGCAUCUGGAACUGCCGAAGGCUUCUUCGUGCCAUAACACUGCUUCCAACACAGCUUGUGGUCGGGAGGGAGUUGGAUUGACCAAACCCGCGACUGCUGUGGGACAAAACAUGUCAUGUCUGAUGGAUCGGGAUCACAGCAAAACGCAACCGCAGAAUCAUAAUGUAUACAGUAACGAAUAGGCAAUAUAUACCUCCUCUGUGUUCGGUAACCUGCAACGUCAAGGAGUGUUUUUCUCGGAAUGGAUCUAAACAGCCUCUGGACCUGCUGUUUCCAUGACAACAGCCUCUUCUUCUGUGUUUCACUGAAGGACUGAUGGUCAAGGGAAGACAACAGAGUUCAAUCGUGUUCAUGACUGUGGUGUUGAAACUGAGCUUUGAUUAGCUGUGCAUCAUUCAAAACAACUGACAGACCAUUUAAAUGUUGUCACUGACUAGCAGUUCUACUGUUAAACUUUACAGGUACAUGACAUCCGUUUCCCCUGGAAGUGUAUUAAGCUAUCAUAGUUACCGAGAGAAUUAUUAGUCCUUCAAGAAUGCUGACUUCGUCACAUUAAGCCAGGGGUCGUCAACCCAAAAUGUUGAAAAUAGGACCAAAAAAAAAAAAAAAACAGAUAUGUCUGGAGCCGCAAAAAAAAUAACAGCCUUCUAUAAAACUUACAAUGAAGGAAACACGUGCUGUAUGCAUGUAGGAUACUGCACUGUCACGGAAUUGUUUGUUAUUCAUUCUUUUGUUGUGUGUUCACAAACGCCCCCAUAGAAUUUAUUUUGUAAUUUACUCACUUGAGUUUUUGUUUUGGUGCAUUAUUUUCGCUUUUCUUAGUGUCAGUGAAGUGAUCAUUAAUUUCCGUUUUUCUGAGGCUGUCUGUGACCGCCUCUCGAGUGAACGAGAAGAGAGAAGGCACAGAGUCGGAAGCAGACAUGUCUGUGUUUGUCGAGACUAUUAAAAGCAAAAAUAAAGUGUACAUUUUA